Neolecta irregularis DAH-3 is the source of this 73-nucleotide non-coding RNA. The record is from the annotation of a GenBank genome assembly. NCBI's taxonomy places the organism in Eukaryota, Fungi, Ascomycota, Neolectomycetes, Neolectales, Neolectaceae.
UGGGUUGUUGACUAACAGGUAAGUCACUGAAAUUUGGCUUCAGUCUAUGAAAGUUCGAAUCUUUCCAACCCAU